AAGUCGUAACAAGGUUUCCGUAGGUGAACCUGCGGAAGGAUCAUUACUGGGUCUGGGCCUCGCGCCCGCUACCCGUCCUUUGUCAUGAGACGCGAAAGCAACUCACAUCGCUUCGGCCCCGGGCGAUACCCCGCCAUUCAGCUGGUGGGUGGGUCCCGCGGCCGGCCUUACAAACCUACGCGGAAUUUUGAAGUCUGAACAAAAAGAAAAACGAAAAGCAAAACUUUCAACAACGGAUCUCUUGGUUCUG
This 250-nucleotide unclassified non-coding RNA is filed under the name air metagenome. RNAcentral describes it as "partial contains small subunit ribosomal RNA, internal transcribed spacer 1, and 5.8S ribosomal RNA". The stretch from base 1 to 46 matches the Rfam family "Eukaryotic small subunit ribosomal RNA", at positions 1786 to 1831 of the family's 1831-position model. The record is from RNAcentral.